ACGGGGUGCAGCAGGCGCGAAACCUUUACACUGCACGAUAGCGGAUUAAGGGGACUCCAAGUGCGAUGGCAUACAGUCCUCGCUUUUCUUGACCGUAAGUGGUCCAGGAAUAAGUGCUGGGCAAGACCGGUGCCAGCUGCCGUGGUAAUACCGGCAGCACAAGUGAUGGCCAAUCUUAUUGGGCCUAAAGCGUCCGUAGCUGGCCGAGCAGGUCCGUCGGGAAAUCCACGUGCUCAACGCGUGGGCGUCCGGCGGAAACCACUCGGCUUGGGGCCGGAGGACUCGAGGGGUACGUCUGGUGUAGGAGUGAAAUCCCGUAAUCCUGGACGGACCGCCGAUGGGAAAGCACCUCGAGAGGACGGACCGACAGUGAGGGACGAAAGCCAGGGUCUCGAUCCGGAUUAGAUACCCGGGUAGUCCUGGCCGUAAACGAUGUUCGCUAGGUGUGGCGUCGACUACGAGUCGGCGCUGUGCCGCAGGGAAGCCGCUAAGCGAACCGCCUGGGAAGUACGUCCGCAAGGAUGAAACUUAAAGGAAUUGGCGGGGG
Molecule: ribosomal RNA, 547 nt
Filed under: uncultured archaeon
Lineage: Archaea
Description: bacterial SSU rRNA
Rfam family: Archaeal small subunit ribosomal RNA
Source: RNAcentral